GACGAACGCUGGCGGCGUGCUUAACACAUGCAAGUCGAACGAAAAUACCAAGCUUGCUUGGUUGAUUAGUGGCGAACGGGUGAGUAACACGUGAGUAACCUGCCCCUUACUUUCCUGGAUAACUGCUCGAAAGGGUAGCUAAUACGGGAUAUUCUGACCAGCCUGCAUGGGUUGGUUUGGAAAGGUUGUUUUUCUGGUAAGUGAUGGGCUCGCGGCCUAUCAGCUUGUUGGUGGGGUGAUGGCCUACCAAGGCUUUGACGGGUAGCCGGCCUGCGUGGGUGGAAGGUCACAAUGGGAAUGAGAUACGGCCCAGACUCCUACGGGAGGAAGCAGUGGGGAAUAUUGCACAAUGGGCGCAAGCCUGAUGCAGCGACGCCGCGUGAGGGAUGAAGGCAUUCGGGUUGUAAACCUCUUUCGUCAGGGAACAAGGCACUGCUUUUUUGGUGGUGUUGAGGGUACCUGGAUAAGAAGCGCCGGCUAACUACGUG
RNAcentral lists this ribosomal RNA (488 nucleotides) under uncultured bacterium. RNAcentral's name for it is "partial 16S ribosomal RNA". It matches the Rfam family "Bacterial small subunit ribosomal RNA", at positions 28 to 507 of the family's 1533-position model. The record is from RNAcentral.